UACGUAGGGGGCUAGCGUUGUCCGGAAUCAUUGGGCGUAAAGCGCGUGUAGGCGGUCCGGUAAGUCCGCUGUGAAAGUCGGGGGCUCAACCCUCGGAUGCCGGUGGAUACUGUCGGGCUUGAGUACGGAAGAGGCGAGUGGAAUUCCUGGUGUAGCGGUGAAAUGCGCAGAUAUCGGGAAGAACACCCGUGGCGAAGGCGGCUCUCUGGGACGGUACUGACGCUGAGGCGCGAAAGCGUGGGGAGCAAACAGG
RNAcentral lists this ribosomal RNA (253 nucleotides) under uncultured bacterium. RNAcentral describes it as "partial 16S ribosomal RNA". It matches the Rfam family "Bacterial small subunit ribosomal RNA", at positions 524 to 776 of the family's 1533-position model. The record is from RNAcentral.